GUUGAUAAGAAAGUGGAGAGUAGAGGUUGUGCUUUGAAUUGUCAACCCUGGGUUAAGGCCGCUGAUAACGCCUGUUGGCGGCAAAAGCACGAUGAUGAUUGUGCGAAAUCUGCUUUUGCUGAUAGUCACCAACGCAAUGCCAAGCGCCGCGGUUACCUUAAAUAACAGUUAUCUGUCGGGUAAUAUUCUAUAUCCAUCCUACACAAUCAAAGCAUCUUUUAAUUACGAAGCGUGUGCGUAAAGCUGUGCGGGCCGUUGCGGGGAUCGUCCUUUCCCGCAGCAAUGAAAGCGUUAGGAACGGGUAGAAGGCGCACUCUGUCAUGUUAUCGCGGUACUAUUAACCAUUUUUUGUGUUUGUUGUGUAGGAGAGGGAAGUUACUGGUUAUCUUUGGGUUAUUAAUGGAUAUAUACUGCCUCGGGCUUCUUAACUGAUCAGACUUUGAGUUAUCUUUCGCGUCUUUUCUUGUCUGAGUGAAGGAAUAACAGGAAAUACGACAAGGGAUUUUCCUAUAAAGUAUACACACGUUUUUCUCUCGGCGAUAGUAACAGCGGCUCUGCGGUACAUAAAGCUUCUGGUUAGCCAACUUCAGCUCAAAAACGCUUGAAAGAGACCAAGUCAAGAAUACUUCUCUGAGAUAAGGCAGAAAUCGGUAGAAACGAAAGGAAAUGUUUUUUAAACAAACUCGGCUGUUUGCCCUGCUUGUGGUGGUGGUGGCUCUUUUGAUGGCUAAUCAGAGCUAUGGCCAAUCUAAACCUCGGGUGAAGAUUGGCUCGUGGUCACAGGUCACUAAGUCCCAUCGCAUCAAUAACAAGCAAGGAGUGUAUUCUGGCCUGAAGUGCUGCGUCAUGCGCUCGUACCCAUGCCUCCGCGACGUGGACUGCUGCACUGGGAACUGUCAGCACACGGACAAAAUAGGAUUUAAACGCUGUUCGUGAAGUAAGAUGGCAGUUUGCUGCGCAAGUCGCCACAGGGAUACCGAGAAGAGUUCGGGAUUGAGCCGCCAAUCACUGACGUCUUUUAGAAACAAAGCUGCCGUCGCGAGUUAUUGUUUUUGUUGCAAGCGCGUUAUCGCUAGGCUGUAUAACCCACGAACGUGGGAGGGAGGACCCAGACAGUUGAAGGAUUUGAAUACAUGAUGUAAAGACAUAGAUGAUAAAUAAAACCGAAAAUAACAAACAA
Nematostella vectensis (starlet sea anemone) is the source of this 1180-nucleotide long non-coding RNA. RefSeq lists it as uncharacterized. The transcript is spliced from 3 exons. Lineage: Eukaryota; Metazoa; Cnidaria; Anthozoa; Actiniaria; Edwardsiidae. The record is from RefSeq and is a predicted model, not a curated record.